RNAcentral lists this ribosomal RNA (253 nucleotides) under uncultured bacterium. Its description in RNAcentral is "partial 16S ribosomal RNA". It matches the Rfam family "Bacterial small subunit ribosomal RNA", at positions 524 to 776 of the family's 1533-position model. The record is from RNAcentral.
UACAGAGGGUGCAAGCGUUAAUCGGAAUUACUGGGCGUAAAGCGUGCGCAGGCGGUUUUGUAAGUCUGUCGUGAAAGCCCCGGGCUCAACCUGGGAAUUGCGAUGGAGACUGCAAGGCUUGAAUCUGGCAGAGGGGGGUAGAAUUCCACAUGUAGCAGUGAAAUGCGUAGAGAUGUGGAGGAACACCGAUGGCGAAGGCAGCCCCCUGGGUCAAGAUUGACGCUCAUGCACGAAAGCGUGGGGAGCAAACAGG